Molecule: ribosomal RNA, 237 nt
Filed under: uncultured bacterium
Lineage: Bacteria
Description: partial 16S ribosomal RNA
Rfam family: Bacterial small subunit ribosomal RNA
Source: RNAcentral
UAGGCGGGACCGGGUGAGUAAUGUCUGGAAACUGCCCGAUGGAGGGGAGUAACUACUGGAAACGGUAGCUAAUACCGCAUAACGUCGCAAGACCUAAAGAGGGGACCUUCGGGCCUCUUGCCAUCGGAUGUGCCCAGAUGGGAUUAGCUAGUAGGUGGGGUAACGGCUCACCUAGGCGACGAUCCCUAGCUGGUCUGAGAGGAUGACCAGCCACACUGGAACUGAGACACGGUCCAG